RNA transcript from Neolamprologus brichardi, 436 nucleotides. RefSeq lists it as uncharacterized. NCBI's taxonomy places the organism in Eukaryota, Metazoa, Chordata, Actinopteri, Cichliformes, Cichlidae. The record is from RefSeq and is a predicted model, not a curated record.
UCUUAGUAGGCCAAACAAAGGGCUACAAGAGCUAAAGCACACGGAAACAUCAGCUAUGGCUCGUACUUGCCGUGUUGUCAGAUGCAGUUUUAGAUCUCACGAUCGGGAAGGGAAUACGCUAGAAAAUGGGCUCUCUUUUUAUCGUUUCCCCUCCUGGAAGCAACGCGAGGGAUUUCAUGUAUCUUAUGUUACCAGACGAAGACGUCAGGCUUGGAUAGCAGCGGUGAGACGAGCUGAUAUCGAGUUCUCUGCCACCAGUAUUUUUGUUGGUGUGCUCCCGACAUUUUUAUUCUGAUUCUGAUGACGAACAGCCUCCAAGAAAAGGUUUCUCCAGGACCCUCAUGAAAGUACCAGGAAUUAAUUUCCAUCUAGGGAGUGGUCCAGGGUGACAAUGUCUCGAUUCACAGGGCACGGUGUUUACAAUGUCCAUGAAUGG